UGGGGAAUAUUGCACAAUGGGGGAAACCCUGAUGCAGCGACGCCGCGUGAACGAAGAAGGUAUUCGUAUCGUAAAGUUCUGUCCUAUGGGAAGAUAAUGACAGUACCAUAGAAGAAAGCUCCGGCUAAAUACGUGCCAGCAGCCGCGGUAAUACGUAUGGAGCGAGCGUUGUCCGGAAUUAUUGGGCGUAAAGAGCUCGUAGGCGGUUCAGUAAGUCGGGUGUGAAAACUUUGGGCUUAACCCAAAGCGUGCAUCCGAUACUGCUGUGACUUGAGUACGGUAGGGGAGCGGGGAAUUCCUAGUGUAGCGGUGAAAUGCGCAGAUAUUAGGAGGAACACCGGUGGCGAAGGCGCCGCUCUGGGCCGAAACUGACGCUGAGGUGCGAAAGCAUGGGGAGCAAACAGGAUUAGAUACCCCAGUAGUCCCUGAGCGGGCUGGCAAGGCGCAU
This 448-nucleotide ribosomal RNA is filed under the name uncultured bacterium. RNAcentral's name for it is "bacterial SSU rRNA". It matches the Rfam family "Bacterial small subunit ribosomal RNA", at positions 355 to 825 of the family's 1533-position model. The record is from RNAcentral.